UCCCAUUCCCUCAGCCGCCGCCACUCCUAUCCUUCUCUGCCGCUCCACACCAGAACCGGAGACAGCACAGAACCACCCUGACCUCUCCCUAUCCGCCACUCCGUGCCCGCCUCCAUCCAUCAUCUGUCCUCUUCCUUCUCCGUGUCCGGUGAACAAGCACGGCGAGCUCCGAAGCUCACCUCCUACGACGCGGAGGCGCGCGUGGGUGGGGCUCCUGAGAUCCGUGGUAGUGUCGACCAGACGGCAACGACGGCGGCGUCCGCGAAGAUGCGAGAUCCGUCAUCACGGCGGCGUCCGCGAAGAUGCGAGAUCCAUGGUGGUGGCGUGCCGAGGUGAGGUACAUGAUGUGGCGACACCGCCACAGAUCCAAAGUACAGCCCUUGUGGCUGGGUCCAGUUAUCCGUCAGCCACGCCGCCGUCGGUCCCCUCGUCGUUGCGGAUGUCUUCUCCAUACGUGGUGAGUAGCCUCCACUCGCCGCUAUUCACUUUCUCCGGCCGGAAAGACCAAGUAUGUACAUCCGCAUCGUCCCUUACCCUCCCGCCCCCUCUGUUCAUCUCCAUGGAUGGAUGUAGCCGUUCUUGGUAGAGGACGGCUGCAGGCUUCGUUGGCCAGGCUGAAUCGGUACAGGCAAAAAAUCUGGGCAUCUGCCAUGUCCGUCAUUAAAACGAAUAGCAGAAGGCACGAGCACCACUUCCUGGGCUGCUUGUUCAUUACUGAUUAUCUGUGCUUUGUAGAUGUAGGCUGUUCUGCUUCCUUCCUAAUUACAUUGUGCCGCACAUUCAUCUUUUGUACUGGAAACGAAAAGUAUUAGGUAAAUUUCUGUUCUUGUUGCAGUUCAGGCAUUGCUUUGUAGUUGUACACUGCUAAUUCAGAAGUCUGAUGUAUGUUGUCUGAUUUUUUGAAGAGUAAUUGCCCACAGCAUUUAUUUGCCAGCUUUUACAAUUGAGAAACUCAUACCAUUUUAUACCUAAAUGAAGAAAAACUGAUAUCUGCAGAUUCUGUAGGUACAUGCUAUUUCUUAUCUGCAGUUUUAUUGCAUGUAUUUUGUUGAGAAAAAGUGCCAUGCCUGCCACCUCCCACGUCCUCCGCCUCAUCAUCCCCGGCGAGCUUGCCAAGAACGCCAUUCUUGAAUAUCUAUGAAGUUUGGAUAGUGCACUGAAUAUUCAGGUUUUUCGGUGCCAGGUUCAUUUUACUGCAUAGUGUCUAAUCUUCUGCAUGCACAUAAUGGUGAUGGAUCCCAUAUGAGUCAGGGCAUCUAAUGGUCUUUGUACAACUAAUUUUUUUUUACUUAGUGAUAUCUGCACUGCCCUUGCCUACAUAAUUUGCACAUCUCACAUGGACCAGAAACAUUUUUUACUUGGUGAUUAUAUCUACACUGCCUUUUCCUGCACAUGCUCUUUAUGUUAUGCAUACACUUUACUCAAACAUCUAUUUGCCCUUAUGUUCUGCUAUGGCACUCGCUCAAUUUACAUUUGUGAAUUAUGAUUGCUGGAAGUAAACUUGACUGAAAAUACACGUAAUUCAUGCUUGUUCUUCUAACAAAAAAUUCAGCCCAUGCUUAUGUCCCUGUGUCACUGAAGAAGAUAAUUUGGAAUCCAGCUCUUGAGCUUUUUUUGGUUGAGUUACUUCAUGAGCACAACACUUCUUACUGCUGGCUAUUUUUCUUUUCUCAUUGUGCGAGCACUAGCAGUGUAGAAUUUGUGAGAUCUGCUAGUUAGUUAAGCAACUACUAGUUUAAUAAGUAAAUGCCCAUGAGAUGCUCCUGUUGGUACCUUUGAUUUUUCUUCUUUAUGGAGAGAAAGUAAUUCAUUAAUCUCACUGAAUCCAUCUACCAAGAGUAGAUUGUUUGUUAACUAGGCCUGCUAUUACACUGCUUCUCUGUUAUAUAUUAUGUGCAAACUUCCUCUGUGUUAUGUGGUGAAAAUUGCCAUCAUAUCGAUUUCCACACAAUAAGUUGAUGAAUUUAUGCCACAUGAUCUUUGCUCAAUUUAAUAUAUAUCACAAUUUGAUGAUGAAUUUCUUGUUCUCAGUACAUGCCACCAUGUUCAGGAUGUUAUGUACUAAAUACCUCCAUCUAAACAAGUUGUAAAAAUAUUUUUUUCCUGCCCUUUACUCUGUUUUAUUUAUUUAUAUUAGAAAUUGGUGCAGAGUUAGAUAUGUGUAGAGCUUGAAGAUUUGUCCUCUUAAUUACAGAUGGUGCCCAACAUUUGGUAAUCUUAUAAACCUGACCAAAGCUAACUCUUAACUAUACCAGGUAUAUGGUCUUCUCCGUAGCAGCAGUAGUUGAGACAUCAUUAGUAGUGGUUAGGUUUGCACUUAUGGUACGAAAUGAUUCUACAAAGUUUAGUUGACAGGUUUGUAUGGCCUCAACUACUGUUGCUAUAGUACUUAGUUAUGUGAUGUGUGUUUUGUUAUUUUAUCAUUUGAAUUUUAUUUGACACAUUUUUUUGUGUUUUGUUACUUUGUCAUUUGACUUUCAUUACUGCCUUGAUGUCUAAUUCAAUGAUUACCUGACUUCUUAAUAUGGUUGUAUAAAUAAUCCUUCUGUUUUCCCUUAUUCUUCUGGUUUGCAAGCUAACAGUUUAAUUGAUGUUGAGUUUCUUCGCUUAUUGCAGCAGAGGUGAUGGAUUUUGUACAACUGUAUUUCUGGAAAUGCGUGUACACAGAAUUACAAUCUGAAGGAGCGAUGGAAGUGAAGAUUGCGCGCUUUUAUUUAAGAUUACUAAUAGUAAAUGGUAUAUUGUUUUUGCUUCAGAUUUAGGAGUGUUAGAUCGGCUACAUAGUGCAUUUGUUCAGUCUCAAAUUUCUAGUGUUAUUACUAGCAUAUUCUCUAAUUCUUGGUAUUAUUCAACAUCUGCUCUGUCUCAAUUCUGUAUCACAUCUCAUAUUGAAUUGUGGAUCAUCAUUUUGCUUAAAAUGGUGUUGCCUUUGAGUGUUUUGAUUUUAUGCAGGUUUGGCAGUUAAUUUGUGUUCUUGGAGAUUGAACUUUUUCAGCGAGAAUUAUUUGGGUUCGGAAGCUGCCCUGAAGCGGUGGUGAAGUGUUGGAGACUAAAAAUCUGCUAGUAGUGCAUUUUCUUUGAAGCCAUGUUACUCUUUUCUUUAACAAAAAUGCUUAAAGCGCUUUCUAGAUAUGCUUGUGAUGUUUUGAAGUCAUGUUGGAACUCUUUAUUGUCAUGUGAACAAUUGAUAUUUUUGAAUGAAUAUAAUUUGGUUGUCCUAUUGUAAAUUCUGUUGCAUUGAGAAAACAGGCAGGACAAAAAAG
This 3263-nucleotide long non-coding RNA is filed under the name Triticum aestivum (bread wheat). Its description in RNAcentral is "long non-coding RNA (TAES_LNC017632)". The record is from RNAcentral. Lineage: Eukaryota; Viridiplantae; Streptophyta; Magnoliopsida; Poales; Poaceae.